RNAcentral lists this long non-coding RNA (748 nucleotides) under Manihot esculenta (cassava). RNAcentral's name for it is "long non-coding RNA (MESC_LNC008596)". The record is from RNAcentral. Lineage: Eukaryota; Viridiplantae; Streptophyta; Magnoliopsida; Malpighiales; Euphorbiaceae.
UAGGCCUGUGCAGAUUUCGGUUUAAACCGAAAAACCGAACCGAACCGAAUAAUUUCGGUUUUUCGGUUCGGUUAAUCGGAAUGAUCGGUUUGGUUCGGUUAGUAUAUUUAAAAUUAUUCGGUUUUCGGUUCGGUUCGGUUUAAACGUGUUAAAUAACCGAUCAAACCGAAAUAACCGAUUUCCUACCUAAAGGGCAGUUCUCUCGGUCGAGAUGUAUAUUUUUGUAUAUUUUUUAUUGGAGUUUGACGGUGGUCUCCCUCAUCGCUUCUAAUUGUCGGCAUUUAUGGGUUUGUAUAUGGUCUUGUUUUGGCUUCAUUUCCAGGUCGCCGAUUUUGCUAGCUUGAGGGUUGUUUCUUCGAUAUGGUGAUGAUCCUGUUACUGGGGUUGUGAGAACAUGCUUUUGUUUUGCUGGGAGGGCUUUGCAUGUUGUUGACGGUGGAUUCACAGGGAGUCGUCGAUGCGUCCGGUGGUUCAUCUCCCUUCGGCCAGUGUUUGCCAUGGGCUCUUCCUCAAUCACCUCCUGGUUAUGCUUUUUUGUUGCUUAGCUGGACGAUCUGGAUUCUGGGUUCUAUGGAUGUUUUGGUGCGGUGGAUCUUUUCUAUUUGAGACGUUCCUCUUGGAUUUCGAUUUCGAUGCGGCUCUGUUCGGCCUGACAGUGUGAAAGUCGGUGGAGUUUGAAUCGAACCGAAUCGAACCGAUAAAUUUUUAAAAAAAAUUGCAGAUUUCGGUUUGAAUCGAACCGAACCGA